CUAAAGUGCAUUCACAAAAUGUCCAGCUAGUGCUCCAAGAAAAUUCAAGACAAUUUCAAAAUUAAAUAUUUUUGUACAACAAAUGCAUUCAAAGUAUGCAGAGUAACUAUAAAGAAUUAACAAAUGCAAUUACUGUUUAACACAACAGCUAGCAUCAAGGACAUUCUCUGAUGGUUCAUCAGUAUUUUUGCUGAACUCAACGCUCAAUGAGUCCCAACCUUUUACCACAAUCAACCAAUACAAGUGGGUGAGCAAGGCUCAACUAAGGAAAUUCACAAUCCUGUUCAAUAGAUUUAAGCCAAAAACAGUUUCCUCACAGUUGACUUUUAUAGACACAUUCAAUGGUUCAAUGCAUUUACCUUCAGCAGUAAUGGUAAUUAAGCAGGGAAAUGCGUUGCUCAGAAUCUCACUGCUGAAUCGUAAGCAUAAACCAGAGGCAUCAUCAAGAUUGGCAGCAACUGGCAUGUCAACAGAUACGAGAAAAACAUUAGCAUUGCUAAGCAUCUUUACAGCUAGGCUCUCACAGACCAAGAGAAAUUUGUCUCUCAUUAACAUGUCACCCUUGUCCUUGUUCAGCUCUUCAAUGUGGUGAGUGAAGGUGCAACUUCUCAUGUACUCAAACAUUCCAGGGAGAUGAGACUCUUUAUCUGUGAAGGCUUCAAUGUUCAUUGGAAGUGGUUUCACAAAAUAUCCAAUGUCAGGCCGCAACUUGACAGGGAGCUUCUUACCAUUACAAUGUAAGGCCAGCUUCAAAGGCAGUAAAUGAUGACGGAAUCGAACAUGGAGAAUCUUCUUUGUCCUCUGACCUGGCUCCAAAAAAGUUAUCUCUUCCAUAGGAACCAGUACAGGGACAUCACUGUGAGAUGUCAAGGAGCUUUCAGUAGAAUCUGAAGCUUUGUUAGAUUCCUCAUCCACCAACCUCACUUCUGAAAUGUUCUCAGUGGAACAGUUCUCAAAAGAAACUUCUACACAUACAAGUAGAGGUGAUAUGCUUGAAAUUUCAGAUGAAAAUGAAUAAUCCACCUUCAAGCCAUUUCCACUUGCAGGAUCUAAGAGUCCAUAGCUUUUUGGUUCAACUCGGCUUCCAAUAUCCCUGAUGGAAAUUCUUGCUGAAGAUCUGCAGACUUGACUUCGUUCUGAUGCACUGGGAUUUGACAGAUCAGGCUGCUCAUCCAACCAUGAUUCAAGAGCUGUCUUUGACAUCAUUUCCCCCAAAUCAGUGGAGUUAGAUUGAGGAACUCCAUUCUGAUUUACAAGGGCAUCCCCAAUAUCUGAUACCUGAAUCAGUGGAUCUGCAUUAUUUCCAUUCCCACUUGCAGAACCAGUCUCGUCACUGCCACCAUCACCAUCUGAAUCAGUCAUAGAACGUUCUGAGCUAUAAUCAGAUGCAGUUUCCUCAUCUGAUGAUCCAGAUAAUGAGCCAGAACCAUCUGUCCCCUCCCCUAACUUAUCUGUGUUAAGGUCUGAGAGCUGGCUAUGCUCAUCAUGAAGCACACUACAAGGUUUUGGGAGAGGUUCAUAUCCUGGAGCUGCAUGAAGGACUAUCUGCGAGAGAGAACCAGGAAGAUAGAUCCUAUAAUUAAUAGGCUCCAAAGACAAUUGUUUUGUUUGCCCUUGGAGGAUGCAUUCUGCAAGCAAAUGUGGCAGGUCCUCCUUUUGAGGCGAAUAAUUCACAUAAUCCUUGACUUCUUGAGAACCUAAUUUUGAUGAGACAAUUUUCUUUAGAAAGCGAGCUCUGUCACGAACAUCAUAAUUCAAAUCAAACUCAGCCAAUUCAAGCACAUAGCUCCCUACUUUUUUUGAAGUCCAAAGAUCUUCCUCCUUUGCUCCUAAUAGCACCUUAACAGUAGUAUUAAGAAUUUGAAGCUUUGUUUCCAAUGCUUCUGAAGAAAAGCUCCAUGCAAGAUAUUGAAGUACAGUGGUUACCAUCCUUGGUAUUAUCUCCCCUAAAUUGCUGUACUCCCCCAUCAUCCAAAUUAUUAUUGCACGGGCUGCAGGCACCUUGAUUGAAUCCAAACUACGAACCAACUGAAUUACAACCUUUUCAUGAUUGGGAGGAUCUUGUUUUAUAAUUGACUUAAUUGAAGUUAAUACUUGAACUAAAACGCCUGCUUCUCCUUCAAUAGAUCCAAAUUCAGUGGUCAAAAGUUCUUGUCUAGUCAGCGCCAACAGCCCUUCUAAGAAUGUAAUAGCCAUUUUGGGAAGUUUUUGAGCACAUAAACCAAUUGCAGCAACAGCAUCAGCAGCGAAUCUCCUGUCUGGAUCUCGAAUAUAAUCCUAGAAACAAAUUAAAAUUAAGCAUCAACUCAUGCACUUACAUCCCAUAUUCAGUCAAUACACUCAAUAAUUGUGAUGGAAGUUAACAAAAUAUGUAACAGCAAAAUCUUCUUCCCUUGUUCUGAUUCUUUUCAAGUCUCUCUUACUCCUUUCUCCCUCCAAUUUCUUCUAAAUCUCUCUGAUUCCUCUUAAUACUUUGUUAGGGUCCCAAAACCCUGAAACUCUUUGAAGAUAGAUGAAAUAGAUGACUCUGUAGCAAUAGUACAAAGAAUCUCAAGCUUCAAAGCUUUUAUUUGAUAUGAAUCUGAAGAAAUUAUGAAAAAAUCUUCAAAGUGUGGAGCAAAAAAAGAAGGCAUUGCUUUUGCAAACACUUGAAUGUUGCAAAGGACCACGUAUUUCGAAGUACUGGAUGAUCUCAGCAAAAACAAAAGUGGUUUAACAAUUCUUUUGACAUCCUCACAUGGCACCAUAAUCCAGUGUACGCCUGCUGCUGCUAGUACUACUGCACUAUUGUUACUCCACAGCAAUGGUGAAGUACACUGGAGCAGGAUCUUCACGUCAUCAUUGCUUUUGCCAGAUGUAAAUUUUGCAUUGUGAAAUUCAGAGAAAAUCCUGUUGUUAUAACUUGACCGUGAUAAGUAUUCAUCAGGCCCUUCAAUAUAACACCUGGAAACCAUACUUGCCAUUUCAGAGUUGAAUUUCAAAUCCAUGCUACUGUCUUUUUCUAAUGAAAAUUCGACGUCCGAACCAUCCUUUUCAGACUGGGGACUUUCCUUGCCAUGUAAAGAGAACAUUAUAGAUUUUUUUACUAGACCAUGCCUUGCUAUUGCAUAGCGCAAAAGGAUUCCAAUUAGAACUAUUUGACCCCACUCUUCCACAUCAGGAAGAACCUCACACAACCUUUUAUAACUUCUUCCAACCAAAGAAUAAUUGUUUGGACAAACAGAAUUAAAUGCAGCAGCAGCAGCUCCAACUACUCCAGGGGAAUGGUCACUUAGCAAUAUUCCAACAAUCUCUUCAAUUGUGGAGGAAUGUUCCUCCAGUUGCAAAUCAUGUAACUUGGGAAGAGCAUUAGCAGCACAUUUUCUGACAUAAACAGAUGGAUCUCUAGCACACUUUCCCACAGCCACCAAAACAAGGGGUGCAAUUACAUGUAGACGGAUUCCUGCCAUGGUACGAAGUGCCCAGGCUCUCACCAAUGGAUUUGUGUCUCCCAAAUCCUUCUGGAAGGAAUUGAUUGACAGCAAAGCUUCAUUUGGACGCUUUUCAGCAUAAUGCAGCAAGUACAAGUAAACCAGCUUCUUCACUUCUAAUGACUGAGAUGCCACAUUUUUAACCACCUGAGGGAAGAAAUUGGAAACAUCGAAGCCUUGAGCGAUGAGAGCGAGGAGACGUUUAAGAGCUUCACAUUUCUCGGAGUCGAACUUGCUAUCGAGCAAGGGAGCGAUGUUAACGUCCUCUGGGUCGUCAUAUAAGUGGGCGUCUGUACCAAUCCGAAACAUGAUCGUAGAUGCCUUGCUUAGCGUAUCUGCUGUAGCACCGAAAUGGGGAAACAUUUUUUACAAGGAAGAGAGGUUUUGUAAAAACAAAAAUUGAUUAGCACAAUUGAAGAGAAACCAUUCUGUGAAUAGUUUAUCUAAAAAAAUUAUGAGGAAAAGCGCAAUAUAAGAGCGUGCAGAGGUGACAACAUACGAGUAAUUUUGUAGAAACAAGUAGGGGUGCCUG
RNAcentral lists this unclassified non-coding RNA (4002 nucleotides) under Hevea brasiliensis (rubber tree). Lineage: Eukaryota; Viridiplantae; Streptophyta; Magnoliopsida; Malpighiales; Euphorbiaceae. The record is from RNAcentral.